Molecule: ribosomal RNA, 253 nt
Filed under: Eubacterium coprostanoligenes
Lineage: Bacteria; Bacillati; Bacillota; Clostridia; Eubacteriales; Eubacteriaceae
Description: partial 16S ribosomal RNA
Rfam family: Bacterial small subunit ribosomal RNA
Source: RNAcentral
UACGUAGGUGGCAAGCGUUGUCCGGAAUUACUGGGUGUAAAGGGAGCGCAGGCGGGAAGCCAAGUCAGCUGUGAAAACUACGGGCUUAACUUGUAGACUGCAGUUGAAACUGGUUUUCUUGAGUGAAGUAGAGGUAGGCGGAAUUCCGAGUGUAGCGGUGAAAUGCGUAGAUAUUCGGAGGAACACCGGUGGCGAAGGCGGCCUACUGGGCUUUAACUGACGCUGAGGCUCGAAAGUGUGGGGAGCAAACAGG